Molecule: ribosomal RNA, 413 nt
Filed under: uncultured eukaryote
Lineage: Eukaryota
Description: bacterial SSU rRNA
Rfam family: Eukaryotic small subunit ribosomal RNA
Source: RNAcentral
CAAUAGCGUAUAUUAAAGUUGUUGCAGUUAAAAAGCUCGUAGUUGGAUUUCUGGCCGAGUGUCCCCAAGCAGACAGACGUCUUGUCUUGGGCGCUCUGCCAUCCUUCUGUUAACCUUCGCCUCGUUCGUUCGUGGCGCUGGGGCUCAGAUAUUUUACCUUGAGAAAAUUAGAGUGUUUCAGGCAGGCUUCGCCGGAAUACAUUAGCAUGGAAUAAUGGAAAAGGACUUCAACCUCUUCUGUUGGUCUGAGAGGCUGUAGUAAUGAUUAAUAGGGAUAGUUGGGGGCAUUCGUAUUUGACUGUCAGAGGUGAAAUUCUUGGAUUUGUUGAAGACGGACUACUGCGAAAGCAUCUGCCAAAGAUGUUCUCAUUGAUCAAGAACGAAAGUUAGGUGAUCGAAGAUGAUCAGAUACC